AGACUGAAUUCAAUGUUCUGCCUUGCCAGUUCACGCUCGCACACCACUAAAUAUGAUUUGCAUUCUCAUUUCACAGAUGAAACUGCGUCCCGUGAAGAGAAUAGACACAGACGGUGGAGGUUUUGAAGGCUCCCAUAGACUGGAGAGUCGCCACGGUGGCUUUGCUGCGCACGCGGCCUUCCUUCAGCUGCUCAACAGUCCGUGGCCACAGCUGCCUGGCUGCUCGUCCAAUCGGAGGCGGCUCCGGAGUCGAGCACGCGGCCCCUCCAGCCCGUGGAGCCGUGCUGUCGUAGCAGAUGCACGAGGGGGACCUGGCGUUGUCCCGCUGAAAUGUCCAGCCAAGGGAGAGAUGCCGAUCUUUCUACUUCACACAUACAGCAUUUGCUAGUCCCGCAGAUGUGUCAUGUACAGAAAAAGAUGGGUCAAGUGGAGACCGGACGUCGAUCCGAGCAUCGGCCCGAGCAGCGGCGGCGGCGGCGUCGGCGGCAGCAGCGACAGCAUUCCCGAUCCAUCGACCGGCGGCGCCGCGCGGUGGAAUCAGCACAAAGUUUGACUGGAAAUCCAUACGCAUCCAUCCGCAGGCACC
This 586-nucleotide long non-coding RNA is filed under the name Betta splendens (Siamese fighting fish). RNAcentral describes it as "lncRNA (ENSBSLG00000024936.1)". The record is from RNAcentral. Lineage: Eukaryota; Metazoa; Chordata; Actinopteri; Anabantiformes; Osphronemidae.